GGAGAAAUCCGUCUUUCAUUGACGGAACAGAGCAAGCAGGGUGACAUUAUUUAAUC
Molecule: unclassified non-coding RNA, 56 nt
Filed under: synthetic construct
Description: RNA (56-mer) from synthetic construct (PDB 6LTR, chain B)
Source: RNAcentral